GGAUUACCAGAUCUGGCUUUUGAGCUAACCUUACUUGCUGUUGAUGGCUUGGUUUUCUAUCUGGGGAAGUGAAAAGAGAAACACUAAAAUGGAGGAACAAUUUAAAGUUUUACAACAGAGUUUUAAAGGUGGUAAAGGAUGCUGGCCUGGAAAGGACACAUGUGGCUUCCUUCAGCUCAACCUUGGCUCCUCCUUACCAGCUCUGUUUUGCCUCUGGUGAUAAGAAUAUCUCCUCAACGACCCCUCAUCCUUAGCCUCCUCUGGGAGAGGCAACAUCUAAUGGAUUCGCAUAGCUGAAAAGUGACACGCCAGAGUCAUAUGAGCCCAAACGUAGGCUGUUCUUAGAAACAUCUUGCUACCUUUCCUUAUAAUCAUCCCUAUUUUCUUCCUUAAAACAAUGACUAUCUCCAUUUUAAAACUUAAAAAUCAAGUUAUCAUUCAAAUUAGUGGGAUCUUAUUAAUCAAAAUGAAAAGGUUCUUGGUUACCCACAACUUAAGAGUCUAGUGAGUGACUAAAAUCUAGAAUUUACCUGUGCCAAAUUCCAAAUGAAUGCUUUGCAAGACUUUGCAACUAUCCAGUACUAGCAACAUAAUACUUGUAAUAAAUGCUUCCGGGUAAGGAACUGCAU
This 629-nucleotide long non-coding RNA is filed under the name Mus musculus (house mouse). Its description in RNAcentral is "predicted gene, 48311". The record is from RNAcentral. Lineage: Eukaryota; Metazoa; Chordata; Mammalia; Rodentia; Muridae.